AAGAAGAGGUCAGAGAUGUAUUUAUAGAAACAUCUGAGACCCACUUCUCUAUCACUUGCACUCCUCUGUCUCUUUGAAGCUCUCCCAAAUUCCUGACCAAGAUGAAAUCAUGCAGCAAAUGGGGAGAAGUAGGGGAGGCAGAAACCAUUUUUCAAAGCGUCUCUGCUUUGAGCAGCCAGAUGGAAGAGAGGAAAGUUGUGGCCAUCGUUUACCUGCUGAGAUUGGGAGGACGCUGUUGAUGAAAGUCGGCUGAGACACGAUAGACAGGAAGAAAAGCUGAAGAUAAAUUCCCAAAGUCAUUGGAUUCAGGACAACCAUGCUGGCCAGGGUCUGGUGAGUGUCAAGUUAGAAAGGAGGCUGCUGCGGAGCCUUGCUUAUCUCUGCUUUUCUCUUCCUCACUGCUGUGUGUGUGUGUGUGUGUGUUUGUGUGUGUGUCUUUCCCUCUUUCUCUCUCUCUCCCUCCUCCUCACCCCCUCCCUUUCUCUCCCUCCCCCACCUCUCCUGUCCCCCAUGCCUUUACCAAGAAAGAAUGCCAACCAUUUCCCAUUAAACCGUCUCCAUACUACAUAGAGUUAUAUUUAUCUCAAGCACCAUAUCAAAUGCCCACAUUAAAAUUAAGAUGUCAAAAUUUUCUUUUUUGGAGACUGAGGUAAGUGGCUAGUGAAGAGGUGAUGAGAAGGCAGCCAAGUCUCAGAUGUUCACUGGAGGCCGUCCUCAAGGGCAGAGAGGUUCCUAAUUGGUUAUGCACCACCAUCUACCUGCUUGGAACUGGGCAGAAACAACUCUCCUGAUUCAAACCCAAUUUCAUGAAGAAAAACCCCUCCGCUGUCAGCCUGGGACAUUUUUACCCACUGUGUAACAAAUGUAAAGUUGACGUUUAAUUUUUUUCUUUAAUCAUCCAAUAAAAAGGAGGAAGGAAGUAGUUUA
Macaca mulatta (Rhesus monkey) is the source of this 927-nucleotide non-coding RNA. The record is from RefSeq and is a predicted model, not a curated record. Lineage: Eukaryota; Metazoa; Chordata; Mammalia; Primates; Cercopithecidae.